GCGGGAGUGGUGUAACUAGGCAGCCACGCAGGAUUUAGGUUCCUGUGCCUUCGGGCGUAGGGGUUCGAGUCCCCUCUCCCGCACGA
This 86-nucleotide transfer RNA is filed under the name Micromonospora inyonensis. RNAcentral's name for it is "tRNA_Leu_TAG". It matches the Rfam family "tRNA". Rfam says of the family: Transfer RNA (tRNA) molecules are approximately 80 nucleotides in length. Their secondary structure includes four short double-helical elements and three loops (D, anti-codon, and T loops). The record is from RNAcentral. Lineage: Bacteria; Bacillati; Actinomycetota; Actinomycetes; Micromonosporales; Micromonosporaceae.